AUGUUCUGCACAUCUACUAAAGUUGGAACAAUACUGAGAAGAUUAGCAUGGCCCCUGCACAAGGAUGACAUGCAAAGAACAGCAUUUGCAAAGGUCCUG
Molecule: small nuclear RNA, 99 nt
Organism: Propithecus coquereli (Coquerel's sifaka)
Lineage: Eukaryota; Metazoa; Chordata; Mammalia; Primates; Indriidae
Source: Ensembl